UGAUCCUGGCUCAGAACAUACGCUGGCGGCACGCCUAACACAUGCAGGUCGAACGAAGUAGCAAUACUUAGUGGCAGACGGGUGAGUAACAUGUAGGUAUCUGCCCUUUGGCCUGGAAUAACACGAGGAAACUUGUGCUAAUACCGGAUAAGUCUUUACGGAGAAAGCUUUAUGCACCAUUGGAUGAGCCUGCACUUGAUUAGUUUGUUGGUGGGGUAAUGGCCUACCAAGACUGUGAUCAAUAGCUGAUUUGAGAGGAUGAUCAGCCACAUUGGGACUGAGACACGGCCCAAACUCCUACGGGAGGCAGCAGUGGGGAAUCUUGCACAAUGGAGGAAACUCUGAUGCAGCGAUGCCGCGUGAGUGAAGAAGGCCCUUGGGUUGUAAAGCUCUUUCGUCGGGGAAGAAAAUGACUGUACCCGAAUAAGAAGGUCCGGCUAACUUCGUGCCAGCAGCCGCGGUAAUACGAAGGGACCUAGCGUAGUUCGGAAUUACUGGGCUUAAAGAGUUCGUAGGUGGUUGAAAAAGUUAGUGGUGAAAUCCCAGAGCUUAACUCUGGAACUGCCAUUAAAACUUUUCAGCUAGAGUAUGAUAGAGGAAAGCAGAAUUUCUAGUGUAGAGGUGAAAUUCGUAGAUAUUAGAAAGAAUACCAAUUGCGAAGGCAGCUUUCUGGAUCAUUACUGACACUGAGGAACGAAAGCAUGGGUAGCGAAGAGGAUUAGAUACCCUCGUAGUCCAUGCCGUAAACGAUGUGUGUUAGACGUUGGAAAUUUAUUUUCAGUGUCGCAGGGAAACCGAUAAACACACCGCCUGGGGAGUACGACCGCAAGGUUAAAACUCAAAUGAAUUGACGGGGACCCGCACAAGUAGUGGAGCAUGUGGUUUAAUUCGAAGAUACGCGCAGAACCUUACCAACACUUGACAUGUUCGUCGCGACUCUAAGAGAUUAGAGUUUUCGGUUCGGCCGGACGAAACACAGGUGCUGCAUGGCUGUCGUCAGCUCGUGUCGUGAGAUGUUGGGUUAAGUCCCGCAACGAGCGCAACCCUCACUUUUAGUUGCCAUCAUUAAGUUGGGCACUCUAAAAGAACUGCCAGUGAUAAGCUGGAGGAAGGUGGGGAUGACGUCAAGUCCUCAUGGCCCUUACGUGUUGGGCUACACACGUGCUACAAUGGUAUCUACAACAGGAAGCAAGACUGCGAAGUUAAGCAAAUCCCUAAAAGAUACCUCAGUUCGGAUUGCACUCUGCAACUCGAGUGCAUGAAGCUGGAAUUACUAGUAAUCGUGGAUCAGCGUGCCACGGUGAAUGCGUUCCCGGGUCUUGUACACACCGCCCGUCACACCAUGGGAGUUGGUUCUACCUUAAGGCAAGGUUUCAAACCCUUGACCACGGUAUAGUCAGCGACUGGGGUGAAGUCGUAACAAGGUAACC
RNAcentral lists this ribosomal RNA (1430 nucleotides) under uncultured marine bacterium. Its description in RNAcentral is "bacterial SSU rRNA". It matches the Rfam family "Bacterial small subunit ribosomal RNA". The record is from RNAcentral.